Gossypium raimondii (Peruvian cotton) is the source of this 1075-nucleotide long non-coding RNA. RefSeq lists it as uncharacterized. The record is from RefSeq and is a predicted model, not a curated record. Lineage: Eukaryota; Viridiplantae; Streptophyta; Magnoliopsida; Malvales; Malvaceae. The transcript is spliced from 2 exons.
UAACUUCAUUUAAAAAUCCAUAUAUAUAAUUACAUCACAGAUCUUAAACCUUGAUACUCAAUACCCGAAAUCCAUUACCGAUUGUUUCAAUACCUAGUAAAAGAAAUCAUCAUUUGUGGAUUUGUACAAAAAUAAUAUAAAAUGGGGAUUAGUAGAUUUGGGCUAUAGAAUUGUUAGAAGUCAGGGUCCACAGGGACAGCCCUCUAGCUGUUGUAAACCUUUUUUUCUAGUUUCUUCUUCUAUAUUUCCACCACCACCAUCCCAUCCCUUAUUCUCCAUUUUCUCUCCCUCUCAAAAACCAAAGCUCAAACCCUCAGGCUUCUUCAAGGUUGAUUGAUUACCAGGUUACAAGUUGUCAUCAUCAUCAUCAUCAUCAUCAUCAUGAUGGACAUAUUCUUCAAUAAACCUAAUACCAUCAUGGUUAUUGACAGCAUAUGCUUCAAAAGAGCAAUCUCCACCAUGGAUGUUGUUGAACAAUACUUACCAAGCUUCUUUACAACAAUGGCUUGUUGACCUCUCUCUUGGUGCUAUCCCACCUGAGCUUAUUUUAACAAUCCCCCCCUCCCCCAAAAAAAAAAAACUACCCUUUUUUUUAUUUCACCAUGGUUUCCUCUUCUUGACCUUGUAAGGCCUUUUCUUGACCUUGUAAGACCCCUACCAUCACCUACUACACUAAUCACCAAUAUCUUAAACCAUUUCUUAUCAGAAUUUUCCUUGAAAGAACUAAACAAUUAGUACCCACUGUUCCCACCUAACUCAUCAUCUCCUUCCCUGUCUAUCCCUCCUGAGCUACCAUGUCACAAUAAAAAAACUAGAAUAUUAUUUACCUUACAAAAAUGGCAAUGGCAUCAUGCAGUCAAAGGAGCUUCAUGGGUUUUAGUUUUACUUCCAUUUUACUGAAAUGAUUGUUGGGCUAUAAGCAGUCAUUUCAGAAAAAAAAAAGACCAUUGAAUUCUAGUUUGUAUUCUUAUGUAUGUGCCUGCAGGAAAAAACAUAUUGAAACUCAUGCAGGAGCUGUCAGACUGUUUGACAUUUUGUUUAUCAUUAAAUGAGAUUUUUUUUUGAUUUUUCACCA